Long non-coding RNA from Telopea speciosissima, 237 nucleotides. RefSeq lists it as uncharacterized. Lineage: Eukaryota; Viridiplantae; Streptophyta; Magnoliopsida; Proteales; Proteaceae. The transcript has 5 exons. The record is from RefSeq and is a predicted model, not a curated record.
CUUUCCGAAAGAGAUCGAAUUGAAACUGAGCAAAGAGAUUAAGUGAUAACGAAGUGGUGAUGGCAGUAGUUUCUGGAAGAACAUCAACACUGAACCUAGAUGCCCCUCUCUUCAUCCCAGCAGCUUUCCGCCAAGUAGAGGAUUUCUCAGCAGAGUGGUGAGAGUUGGUAAAGACCUCUACAUGGUUGUGUGACCACUGGCUUUCACAACAACAAGAAGAAGCCUGCAGCUUCAUCA